UGUCAUCAUGGUACAGGAGCCUAGGG
RNAcentral lists this non-coding RNA (26 nucleotides) under Mus musculus (house mouse). Lineage: Eukaryota; Metazoa; Chordata; Mammalia; Rodentia; Muridae. The record is from RNAcentral.